CAUGCUACCCUGAACAAGCCAGAUCCUGUCUGAUCUCAGAAGUGUAUCAUCUCUAUUUGGAUCAUAUUUUCUCAAAGUCCAAAAAAGAACUACAAGUUUUGCAGGUGCACACAGGCUGAAGCUCUGUUGGCAUGUGCUGUGAACACAACCAGCAUUGUGUAUAGCUCAAGUCCAGGCUGUUCAUGUACUACUUUCUUCCAUAUUGGAAUGCAAGACCCAACCUGGAAUACCACAUUGCAUUUAGCCUGUAUGUAUUUUAAUAAUGGACGAGAUAUAAAAGUAAGAGGGAAAGCAUUUUGUCUGUACUCAGAUAUCACUGUUGUUAAUAUUUUGGUGUAUUCUCUUCCUAACACACCACAUAAGCGUGCAUCACACACAUUUCAGGUUCAGAAUGCUUACCUAUUUUGCCCCCUAUUUUUUAAUCGUUUAACAAAUCUAUUAUGUCUGUGCUAUUAAUUAGUGUUGGAAACUGUUUUAGGUGCAUGUAAUUUUUAUCGUAUGGAUUUAGUUUAAGCUAACAUUACCAGAUUAUUGAAUGCUUGUUUCCAUUUUUCUUCUUAUAAAUGACAUUGUGAUGAUUUUGAGUGUGCAUGGACUCUGGGCAGUAUUCAUAUUUCUGCAGGCUGAUCACAAAGAAGAAUAUAUAAUGUGAAGAUCUAUCUCCUUUUAUUAUAGUUUUUAAUGCAAGAGGAACACAUUUAAACGGUACUGAAAUCUGUAAUAUUGAAAAUGAAAAUCUUCCCCUGCUCUGGUAGACUUACUUCCCUGAGGAAAAGAAAGUAGUGUGAGGUCUCUGGCCUUCACCUGAGUCAGUGUGACUUAAACAACUAGGUGUGUUUCCAGCAACCAAGUAAAAAAGCAGCUUUGACACUGAGCUUUUCAUAAAUGUUCAAAGUUGCAGUGAGUUCUCAGGAAGAAUAUCUCAGCCUCAUUAUCUUUUGAUUUGUGGCCAAGGGUGGCUUUGCUUGGGCAUUUCCUGUGAUUGGGGUUGGCUGUUUUUAUUUUCAGGAUUUGUCACUGCUCAUUUGUCACAGAGGAAUCAGUUUCAUUACUAGUUAACAGUCUUCAAUGCCAGGGAAAAAGAAUCCCCUGAUUGUCCCUGCCUUCUAGAAUAGAUAAUUCAUUUGUUCCCAGGACACUAAAUCCUGUAGGGAUAAGCCCCCAAGCUACCAUCAGCUGACACUGUCCUUGGCCAUGAGAGUAUCCAGGAAACAUCAUAGCACUCCUGGCUCACAAAGCUGCAAGCCACAGUAGCUAGACUAGGAGCUCACAGUUGAUGUUGGGGUUUAUUGCCACCAGGGAACAGAGUAUAGGUAAGGAAAAAAGUGGGACCUCUGAAGUUGGACAGGCCUGGACUCAAAUCCUAAUAGGCAGGAUCCAAUACCUACUAGGAACUCCGACUUUAAGCAAGUAACUGAGCCCCUCUGAACCUGAGCUUUCUCAACUGUGAAUGUAGGUUGUUACACCUGCUGUUGUAUAAUUUGGACAAGAUAUCAAAAUGUCUGGUACAGUGCCUGACACAUAGUAUGCCAUCAGAAAAAAAUUUGUUAAAUAAAGGAAUGGGUGAAUGACUCACGGAGCCAGUUGAAUACCCUAUUUUUUAAAAUAAUUUUACAGCCAUUUAUAAUAGAAAGCAUGAAAAAUAUCAAUGCAGUGAGUUAAACGUCAAUUUCAUUUCUUCCCCAGGGAGACAGACAACAUAAACCAACUCUAGCUCACUAACAUAAAAGGAAUUUAUUGACAGGACACUCAGGUCCUGAAAUCUAAGAAUUAAAACAACCAGUCUUUGGAUGAGCUAGAGACAGGCAACUUCACGGUCUUCAGAAGCACAAAAUUAUGGAGCCUUUCUCUAGAUCACUGACAUUUGUAUUUCUCAUCAUUAGUGAACAGUCAUCAGGUGAACUGGCUCUGGACAGGAAGGCAGGGGCAUGUGGCAUAAGCAUGGCUUCUGGGGACCCCUCCUCUGUAUCAGGGGCAAUUUCCAGGGCAAGAGGACUAUUGGGAGCUGGUAGUCUCACAUAUUUAGAUUUUACAAAUUGAUUCUGUCUGUUUGUCUUUCUGUCUGUCUGUCUUCAGGAAACUAUUACUAUGAGGAAAAUAAUGAAUAUAUCCAUCAUCUCUGGAAGUUUCCUUAUACCUCUUUGUAUUCUCACCCUCCCACCCCUCCAUGCCCCUCUACCUGUCCCUAGGCAAUCACUGAUUUGCUUUUGUCACCAUAGAUUACUUUGCACUUUCUAGAAUUGUAUAUAAAUGAGAUCAUACAGUAUGUACUCUUUCUUGUCUGACUUCUUUCAGUCAGCAUAAUUAUUUUGAAAUAAUUAUUUUGAACUCAAUUAAUCUGUGUUAUAGCAUGUAUCAGUAAUUCAUUCCUUUUUAUGGACAAGUAGUAUUCCAUUUUAUGGUUAUACCACAAUUUGUUUAUCCAUUUACUUCAUGGACAUUUGGGUUUCUCAUCUGGGGCUAUUAUCAACAAAGCUGCUAUGAGAAUUCAUGGACACGUUUUGUCUUGUGAAAAUAUGUUCUCAUUUCUGAAGGACCUGAAUGGGUGGGUCAUAUUUUAGGUGUAUAUUUAACUUUUUUCAGAAACCGCUAAGCAGUUUUACAAAGUACUUGUACUCUUUUACAUUCUCAUCAGUAAUGUGUGAAAGUCCCUGUUGUUCCAUAUCAUAUCCUUACCUAAACUUGGUAUGUAUCCAGAAUUUAUUUAAUAAAAAAACCCUCUCAAAACUUAAUAUUAAGAAGAUUAACAACCCAUUUUUUUAAUUGGUAAAAGAUUUUGACAAAUAAUUUACCAAAGAAGAUAUAGUCAUUAGAGGAAUUAGAAAAAUGACAUGCUUAUUCAAAUGGCUAAUGGUAAAGGGGAGGUAAUAAUUUUACAUUGUUAUGAAUCCCACGUUAAAGAUGAGAAAGCUGAGGCUCAGAGAAAUAAGUAACCAGUUAUUGAGUGGUGAAAUGUGAAUUUGAACCCAGGCUUGUUAACCCCUGCUUAACCUCCGUGCUGUACAAGCAGGUCCUUUGAAGAAGGCUUCAAAAGCCAAGAUUGGCAACAGGAGAACUCACUUAUUACUUAAGAAUGCAAUUUCCACUUUUUCUCCUGAUGGGACAGCCUGCUACCAGUCACAGUGGAUGUUGUGGAACUUCACGUUUUGGCAUAAGGAUAAAAUUUGUGUUUUUUCCGACAUCCACCUUUGUCUAGUUGUCUCUUGAGAAGAGUACUUGAAGUAUAGAGUGCCCACCAAAGUUUCAUUGGUCCAACAAAGAUAUAGCCCUUUUUAACCAUGAUGGUUAAGAAUAUGAGGGGUUUUUUGGCUCAGACAAAUCUGAGUUUGAAUUACAGAUCUACUAUUAUCUGUGUGAUCCUGGGCAAGUUACUAAACCUUUGAACUUUGACUUCAUCGUCUAUAAACUGGGAAUGAUACUGACCUUACAGUGUUUAAAGGUUUAGAGAUGCUGAUGUAUAUAGAGAAUUUACCACAAUGUCAUGUACUUAAUACAUUCUAACACUAUUACCAUGUCACAAACAAUAAUAUAUAAUCACACUAAGAAUAGGUGUGUUAAGCUUCUCACUACAAAGCCUAAAUAACACACUAACUCAUCACUAACUAAUGUCUUGCAUCUCUCUGGAGACUUGCUCCUUCACUGAGGAAAUUCUAAUCCACCGACAGAUGAUGGCAUAUAAUUCUAUAAGAAUUAUUAAGAAAUCAGUGAAAUAUUCAUCCUUUAGUUGUAAACAUUAGACAUAUUCUUUGGAGGGAAUAUCUAUGGUUGCUGUGGGGCCACAUCAAUUAAAUAUCUGGUGGAGUUUUUAGAGUUCAAUAUCAGGUAUGCAUGGUGUAAAGAAAUCAAAGUAACUGUAAUAAAGAGCUCCAUGGAGCACUAUUACUCAUGCUAAGAUGACUAAAGACCGGCUGCAGUUCUGUGUGGCUUAUAAACCUUAUCAGGUGCUCACACCCAGUAUAAUCCCUUCAUCCUUUACCUGCUCUGACUCCACCAGCUCUUUUUCCAGGCCCCUGAAAGUGCUACUGUAGCUACCAAUGAUGCAUUUCCCUCUGUCCUAUUGUUUUUCUUCUGAAACAAAAUCAGUAUUUUUAGUCCCUACUAAGGGACCUCAGCAAAGCUUCCUCCAAGCACUUGGAUGUAAGAUUAUGAGGGGAGACAAGCCGGUUUCUCUACGGGAUGCCUCCAGCAACUUCCUCUCAGGUAGUCCAGUAAUGAGCUAGCCUUGCAGAGAGAGCCAAAAGCUCUACUGGAUGGCACCAAUGCUGAUAUGCAAACUGCCCAGAAGAUGGGCCCUGAGAAGAGAACGUUUUUCACACAGACAAGGCUGUGCCUUUUCAGACCUACUGGGUCAGGUGAUCUCUGUCACCUCCUAGCUAUAAAUAUAUGAGGUGGCAAGGCACUGGGCGGUCUCUCUCCUGGAGCAUGAUUUAAAUUGUUCCAGCCAUGCAAGCUUAAACAGGACACACUCAGCUUAAACCAUGGGAUGGUGAGACUAGGGGACUGUCUUUAUCCUGUGCCUUGAGCCCAAGUGUUGACAAUUUCUUCAUUUGUGUAUCAUUGUGGUGUUUGACUCUGUCUCUUUUGCAACAGAAAAAUAAUAACUUGUUCUUUCAUAAUCUGACUUAAAAACAAGCACAAAACACUUUAGAGUGGAGAUAUCUACAUUCAACUCCAAAGCCAGUAAGAUAUGCCCUCAACUUAUCUGAUGAUCCAUUCAUUCCUUUUUAUUUAUACUGUGGUAAAAUACACAUAAAAUUUACCAUCUUUGCUAUGUUUAAGUGUACAGUUUAGUGGUAGUAAGUACAUUCAUAUCAUUAUGCAACCAUCACAACCAUCCAUCUCCAGAAUUCUUUUCAUCUUGCAAAACUGAAAGUCUCUACCCAUUAAAUAAUAACUCUCCAUUCCCACUCUUCAAGCCCCUGGCAACUACCAUUUUUUUUUUCUGUCUCUAUAAAUUUAACUACUCUACAUACCUCAUAUAAGCGGAAGCAUGCAGUGUUUAUUUUUUAGUUCUAUUCAUUCUUAAGUUUUAUUGAUAGAAUCAGAAGUUAGCCAGUCACUUUCUAGAACCCUUAGCAAGGGAAUUCGUACAGACAGUUGGGUGAAUCCUGCUGUUUAUCUUGAUGCCAUUAAAUAUAUAUAUAUCUGGAUUUCUUCUGAUUCCAUGUUUACAAAGCAACCAUCUGAUUAUUGUACGGCUUUUUACAAUAGAUACAAUUAGCUGUCUUCCAAACAUCCAUCCUGUUCACAUUGUAUGGCAUUGCAUUGUAGUUUCGAUGGUAUUGCCAUCCCUUAACUCCAGAGAUUGGCAUUAAACCAAUUUUCACAAACCCAUACUCUUUGUCACGGUGAUUGAUUCAGGAAUGGAUACUGACCUAGACCUAAACUAAUUCUCUGGCUAUAGUGAUUAGUUCGUGGAUAGGUAAUUUAGUUCAAUAAAAGUGGAAUCUAGGACCUUUAUUUGAUGACUGGGCAGAAAGAAGCCAUCCUUCUUUUACUGAAGUUGAAAAAAAAUACAUAUCAUCUUAUUGCUACUGACAGCCAUUUUGUAGCCAUGAAAAGAAGUAGCCCUAGGAGGGUGCCAGUAUGAUGGAAAAUAGAGCCAAAUAAAUGGAAAGAAAUUUAAUCCUUGGCGAUAGCCUUCAGCUGCUGGAUCAAGCCUUGCCUGGAGCACUCCCUACCACAGACCCUUUUGAGUUAUAUGAGUCAGUAAAUUCUUUUUGUUGUUUAACCAAACUGAACUGGGGUUUCUAUUGUUUUUGAGUACCUCCUGAUGUGAAAAGGGUCAGAAAAUAAUGGUUAGAUGGGUUUGACAUAUUUCCUUUGAUACUAAUUUCUCACUGUGAAAAAAUAAAUUGGUAUUUUGGUUUUACACAUUAGUUUCUUUAGCUUGUUUAAUGUGAGAUGUGGAGUCAUUCUCAGAACCCUGACAAAAUUCUGUUUCUGACUUCGUCCUACUGGGGACCAUGGUAUACUUUCAAGGUAAUGAAAAUCAUCCUGUGGAGACAUCCUGGGAGAAGACCUUAGUGAUUAUACAUGGUCUGCCUUGAAGGUUCUCCUUGAACUUGAGCUUCUGUUUCAUCCCUUUGAAUUUCUGUAGCCAUUAGAAAUUCUUUUGAACAUCAGUGAUUGUUCUAAAAUAGCAACUGCACUAGUCGAAUUAUUGGCCACCUGGUCUCUGACAAUUGGCCUCACAUCCUGGGAGUUUCCUACCUUAGGUCCUGUUACAUUCUCAGUCUGGUAAAAGGUAGCAAAGUCUUCUUCCUAUAAAUUCUAAACCCUUUGUGUGUGGCCAUGAUGGAAGUCACGAUCUAACACAAUGCCUAGUAAAUAGGGUGUCGACUCUGAAUCUGAGGGACCCCUCUAGUUCUUCCACUGGCAGCCCUGAGGAAGUUAGAAGAUACCAAGUUCAUAGAAGCUAAAACUUUUCUUGGUCUUGUUUAACAAUCUUUCUAACUUAACCAGAGGCCUUGGACCCUUCUUGUGUCAUAAUUAUGUGUUCUCAGUGUUUUUCCCCUUCCUUCUCCCCUUAAAGAAAUCUAUGGAUCAUUUCUCCUCCUUCUGCUUUUGCUGGAUAAAAUAUAUAUUACACAUAGAAUAGAAACAACAUGUUACCAAUAGGGUUGCUUCUACAUGAUGUGUUCAUGAAGCAUUUCUUCCUAAAGGAACUCAAAAUGCAAAAUGAAGAUGCUAACAAAAGAUUGCAAUUAUAUAGAAAACCUGAGUAUUUAUUGGUUUUAAUUUUGCCCUGGAAGUUGAGGGUUCCUUAAAUGCAGGGAAAGUUGUGGAUAAAUUAGGUUCAGCCAUCCUUUGGGAAAUGCUAUAGACAGACACACAUUCCUUCACUUGUAGCUAAAUGCAGAGCUAUUUGCCCUGCCAGCACCAAGAUAAGACACACUUGGAAUUCCUGUCUAUAAACAUUUAAAUCCAGUCACUCUAAACCUAUUGCGGCCCUGUCUUGUAUUUUCUCAUUUCCAGUGACGGGAUCAUUUUUUUUCUGAGCAUGCUGUGUGAACUGGUUGAAUAGAGUGCCAUGAAGGUCUUUAAUAAAUUAUGAGUGGAUUUAUGGGUUCCGCUCAGGGCCAUCGUAGGUUGGCUGAGUUGAAAUGAAAUGGGACAUAUUUAUCUGGAAGGUCCAGGGGGUCCUAGGUAGUAGAGAAAGAUUCAUGAAUGGAAGCUAUGUAUAUAUAUUACUAUAUAGGCUCCUUACUCUACAUGGACAAUUGUCUCUAAAGUUGAAUAAUCUCAUCACAUUAAAGUGACACAUUGUCUAAUUGGUUACUUGAGAAAACUUCUUCCAGUUUACCUUUUACAAAAUCAUAGCAGUGAGCAAACUCUCAAAGUCAGCCCCAUGGUUAAAAGAGAAAAGCAUCAAAGCAAUAAAAAAUAGAUGGUCCUCAUUUAUAUGCUGAACAUCUCUAAGAACAGAUCUUUCACAAUCUGUCUCAUGACUAGCAUUUUCCAGCAUGUUACAUUCCCCAGCUCCUGUACUCUCAUUAGGAGGAGGAGAUGACUGUAGAUGAAAGGUCAGAACUUCUGCCAAAUGUGGCCACUUCUAUGGAUGUCAUUGGUUUUGUCAGUCCAUUGUAACUUUCCAUACUCUUUUAUGAAUAAACCUCUUGUGAGCUGUGCUCAUGAGAAAACUGUGAAGAUGAGUGGGAGUUGGGUUCUAAAUUAAAGAGCAGUGUUUUCUUAAAUUGGGGCCAAAAUGUUAGCAAAAGCAGUGGUGCUUGGAAAUUAUUGCUGAAAUAACUGGAAUUCUUGAAGGAAAGUUCAGAAACCCUGAAAGUCUUGUAUAUUGAAUAUGUAUAUUGAAAGGAAAGAACUGUUCCAUCUCCUGCCCAAAGCAGUUAUGUGGACCUACUUCCUAACUGAAUGAUGGUGGUGUGCAUUGUGCCUCUACUUCUCUUGCUAUGGAGUUUCUCUUUCGCUCUCUUUUGAUAUGGUUGCCAGCUAACACGGAUGUUUGCUAUCUGUCCUCAUUAAACUUGUGUGCUCAGUUUAUGUCUCUCAAUCCAGUGAUAUUAUAACUCGUCACACCAUUUAGCUAAUGACUAAUGUUUUUGAAGCAAAACAAGGGCAAUAUUAUCUAAAAUUUAUUUUUAUUUUUAUUUUUCCAAAAGAUCGCUAAGAUGACUAUUAUUUUGAUGUGGUUUGUGUACUAGAAGAGUUCCCGGUAGAUAGUGCAAAGGACAAGGGGAAGAGUUAAAGAGAAAAGAUAAUGGGCAAACUCCUCUUUGUUGGCAAAAAUAAUAUCGAUGUUUUGCAGCUUCCAAAGUGUUGUAUACCUGUUUGCAUUUACCUUGAAGCCCGUGUGCUUUCUGGUGAGUUUUUGUGAAGGUCCUACUCUGUAUGAAGUAAAGGCCAACAAAAGAGCGAUAUCCAGUGCAUGGGAUGGAACUGUCUCUCUUUCCUACAGAAUCAAGUAAUAGAAUGAGUCUGGACAUUUGUCAGAGAUGUCUUAACACUAGAAGCAGUUUUUUGAAAGUAGGCAGCAUUGCUUUUUAAGAGACUCCUACGAAUAUGUCACACAGGGAAGCGUUUCCUUAUAAAAAUGUUAAAAAAAAAAAAAAAGUCAUCUUCGAAGAGGUGAGGUUGUAUACUGGCGCCUCUGCCUGGAAUACCUUUCCCUUACUUGGCCACCUGCAAAAUCCUGAUCACCUAUCAAGCAAAGCACAAGGGUCUCUGACCUCUCUUUCCUAUGUAGAAUUGUUCUUCCUUUGUUUUCAUAGUAUAUUUAGUUCUUUAUUUAGUUCUUGUCUCUGUUAUAAUACCUUUCAGAGUAGAACAAAUAUCUGUUGGCAUACCUUAUGUCAGGAACUGGGCUAAGUGCUUUAAUGAUGACUCUUUAUAACCACCUUAGUAUUAUCUCCAUUUUACAGAAGAGGAAAUGAGAUAACAUAUGAAAAAUGUUUAGUAUCUAGCAUAGAGUAAAACUACAAAAUACAUUAUUAGAAGUAAUUAACAUUGUGUGUUUACAUUUUAAUCCAAUGUCCCUUUGACAUAGGGAAGUCUUACUCUUUGUAGUUCUAACACCUAACAGAGUGCUUGGAACUGAGUAGGUGCUUAAUAAAUCUUGGUUAAAGGUGUGAGUUAUUAGCCAGUUGAUCUGAAUCUUCUUUAUGUUUAGAGUGGAGCAUAAGUAUUUUAUGUUAGAUAGAAAGCAGAACUUUCUAUUUUUUAUGAGGUAUUUUUCUAAUUAGAAACAUAAUAGAGGUUCAUUGGAGAAAAUUAGGACAAUAUAGAAUAUGUAAUUUUCACAGUCAUCUAUCACCCAGAGACAAUUUUUCUUCCACUCUUUUCUGCAUGCAUUUUUACUCUGACAUUAUACUAUGUACAUAGCUUUUGUGUCAAUUUUGCGCUAU
Molecule: long non-coding RNA, 9365 nt
Organism: Pteropus alecto (black flying fox)
Lineage: Eukaryota; Metazoa; Chordata; Mammalia; Chiroptera; Pteropodidae
Exons: 4
Source: RefSeq, a predicted model, not a curated record